AUAAGAUUGGUCCACACCUGUAGGGGGCAGAAUAGAAAAGAAAAGGUGGUCCCUGAAUUCAGGCUAGCAACCAAAAUCAAGGGCAAUAAGAAGUUCUUCUAUAGGUACUUAGGUAACAGGAUGAAAAUCAGUGGAAGCAUGGGACCACUGCUCAGUGCAUCUGGAUAUCUGACUGCCAACA
Molecule: long non-coding RNA, 181 nt
Organism: Gavialis gangeticus (Gharial)
Lineage: Eukaryota; Metazoa; Chordata; Crocodylia; Gavialidae
Exons: 3
Source: RefSeq, a predicted model, not a curated record